UACGUAGGGCGCAAGCGUUAUCCGGACUUAUUGGGCGUAAAGAGCUCGUAGGCGGUUUGUCGCGUCUGCCGUGAAACCUCAGGGCUUAACCCUGAGCUUGCAGUGGGUACGGGCAGACUAGAGUGCGGUAGGGGAGACUGGAAUUCCUGGUGUAGCGGUGAAAUGCGCAGAUAUCAGGAGGAACACCGGUGGCGAAGGCGGGUCUCUGGGCCGUAACUGACGCUGAGGAGCGAAAGCAUGGGGAGCGAACAGG
Molecule: ribosomal RNA, 253 nt
Filed under: uncultured bacterium
Lineage: Bacteria
Description: partial 16S ribosomal RNA
Rfam family: Bacterial small subunit ribosomal RNA
Source: RNAcentral